CCGUAACUAUAACGGUCCUAAGGUAGCGAAAUUCCUUGUCGGGUAAGUUCCGACCCGCACGAAAGGCGUAAUGAUUUGAGCGCUGUCUCGACAAUGCAUCCGGUGAAAUUGAAGUACCAGUGAAGAUGCUGGUUACCUGCGCCAGGACGGAAAGACCCCAUGGAGCUUUACUCCAGUCUGGUACUGGGACUCGGUAUUGCAUGUACAGGAUAGGUGGGAGGCUAGGAGAUGGUAACGCCAGUUGCCAUGGAGCCGCUGUUGGGAUACCACCCUUGCAGUAUUGGGUUUCUAACCAGCCGCCGUGACCCGGCGGUGGGACAAUGCCAGACGGGGAGUUUGACUGGGGCGGUCGCCUCCGAAAGGGUAUCGGAGGCGCCCAAAGGUUCCCUCAGAAUGGACGGAAACCAUUCGAAGAGUGCAAAGGCAGAAGGGAGCUUGACUGCGACACCGACGGGUGGAGCAGGUACGAAAGUAGGGCUUAGUGAUCCGGUGGUAUUAAGUGGGAAUGCCAUCGCUCAACGGAUAAAAGCUACCCUGGGGAUAACAGGCUUAUCACUCCCAAGAGUUCACAUCGACGGAGUGGUUUGGCACCUCGAUGUCGGCUCAUCGCAUCCUGGGGCUGUAGUAGGUCCCAAGGGUUGGGCUGUUCGCCCAUUAAAGCGGUACGCGAGCUGGGUUCAGAACGUCGUGAGACAGUUCGGUCCCUAUCCGGCGUGGGCGUAGGAUAUCUGAGAGGAGCUGUCCUUAGUACGAGAGGACCGGGAUGGACGGGCCGCUGGUGCAUCGGUUAGACUGCCAAGUCUACGGCCGAGUAGCCAAGCCCGGAAGGGAUAAACGCUGAAGGCAUCUAAGCGUGAAGCCCCCCUUAAGAUGAGAUAUCCCAUUCGAAAGAAGUAAACCCCCUUGAAGACGACGAGGUAGAUAGGGCAGAGGUGGAAGUGCAGCAAUGCAUGGAGCUGACUGUUACUAAUCGGGUGAGGGCUUGACCAAG
Molecule: ribosomal RNA, 991 nt
Filed under: Blautia wexlerae
Lineage: Bacteria; Bacillati; Bacillota; Clostridia; Lachnospirales; Lachnospiraceae
Description: partial 23S ribosomal RNA
Rfam family: Bacterial large subunit ribosomal RNA
Source: RNAcentral